UACGGAGGGUGCAAGCGUUAUCCGGAUUCACUGGGUUUAAAGGGUGCGUAGGUGGGCUAGUAAGUCCGUGGUGAAAUCUCCAAGCUUAACUUGGAAACUGCCGUGGAUACUAUUAGUCUUGAAUCUCGUGGAGGUAAGCGGAAUAUGUCAUGUAGCGGUGAAAUGCUUAGAUAUCGUCAAGAACACCUAUAGCGAAGGCAGCUUACUAGGCUGUAACUGACGCUGAGGCACGAAAGUGUGGGGAUCAAACAGG
RNAcentral lists this ribosomal RNA (253 nucleotides) under uncultured bacterium. Its description in RNAcentral is "partial 16S ribosomal RNA". It matches the Rfam family "Bacterial small subunit ribosomal RNA", at positions 524 to 776 of the family's 1533-position model. The record is from RNAcentral.